UACAGAGGUCCCAAGCGUUGUUCGGAUUCACUGGGCGUAAAGGGUUCGUAGGCGGUUGGGUAAGUCUGUCGUGAAAUCUCCGAGCCUAACUCGGAAACUGCGUCGGAUACUAUUCAACUCGAGGAAUGGAGGGGAGACUGGAAUUCUCGGUGUAGCAGUGAAAUGCGUAGAUAUUGGGAAGAACACCUGAGGCGAAGGCGGCCAACUGGACAGAUACUGACGCUGAGACACGAAAGCGUGGGGAGCAAACAGG
RNAcentral lists this ribosomal RNA (253 nucleotides) under uncultured bacterium. RNAcentral's name for it is "partial 16S ribosomal RNA". It matches the Rfam family "Bacterial small subunit ribosomal RNA", at positions 524 to 776 of the family's 1533-position model. The record is from RNAcentral.